RNAcentral lists this ribosomal RNA (477 nucleotides) under uncultured bacterium. Its description in RNAcentral is "partial 16S ribosomal RNA". It matches the Rfam family "Bacterial small subunit ribosomal RNA", at positions 28 to 507 of the family's 1533-position model. The record is from RNAcentral.
GAUGAACGCUGGCGGCGUGCCUAAUACAUGCAAGUCGAGCGAAAAGGCGCGGCGCUUGCUCCUCUGACGUUAGCGGAGGACGGGUGAGUAACACGUGUAUCCCCUACCUAUCUGUCUGGUAUAUCUUCGGGAAACCGGCGCUAAUCCCGGAUAAUAUAUUGCACCGCGUGGGUCAUUGGUGAAAUACGGUUUUUUCGGCGGUUGUCGAUGGAUUCGAGGCUCAUUAGCUAGUUGGUGAGGUAGUGGCUUACCAAGGCUAUGACGGGUAGCCGGCCUGAGAGGGUGACCGGCCACAUUGGGACUGAGGUACGGACCAGACUCCUACGGGAGGCAGCAGUGGGGAAUAUUGCACAAUGGGCGGAAGCGUGAUGCAGCAACGCCGCGUGCGGGAUGACGGCCUUCGGGUUGUAAACAGCUUUCGACUGUGACGAAGCGUGAGUGACGGUAAUGGGUAAAGAAGCACCGGCUAACUACGUG